Molecule: small RNA, 381 nt
Filed under: Arabidopsis thaliana (thale cress)
Lineage: Eukaryota; Viridiplantae; Streptophyta; Magnoliopsida; Brassicales; Brassicaceae
Description: ATSL011100
Source: RNAcentral
ACGCUGCGUUUGCGGGUGGUAGCGGUUAUUAGCGGUUGGCACCAAUCAUAGAAACCGCUAGAUACCGCUUUGGAUCGCUCGAAAUCGCCAGAUUUCAAAAGCUCCUUCCCGCAAGCGUUUGCGGUUGCGGGCGGUAGCGGUUAGGUUAAAAAAAAUAUAUUAAUUAAUUAAAAUAAUUAUGUCUUCCACCCAAACCUUAUACUUAUUCUUAUCAGAAAACCCUAAUCAAUGAAACCCUAUUCUCUCAAUUAUGGCAUCCACCCAAACUGACAAAAAUCAAAGUCAAAAUCAAGAAUCAAACGUAAGUAUGAUCUAUCCUUUCAUCCAUUCAUUAGCUAGUGUAAUUCUCGGAAUAUUUCAUGGCAUCGUUGUUUUUUUUUU